This 463-nucleotide ribosomal RNA is filed under the name uncultured Desulfobulbus sp. Its description in RNAcentral is "bacterial SSU rRNA". It matches the Rfam family "Bacterial small subunit ribosomal RNA", at positions 924 to 1382 of the family's 1533-position model. The record is from RNAcentral. Lineage: Bacteria; Pseudomonadati; Thermodesulfobacteriota; Desulfobulbia; Desulfobulbales; Desulfobulbaceae.
CACAAGCGGUGGAGUAUGUGGUUUAAUUCGAUGCAACGCGAAGAACUUACCUGGUCUUGACAUCCCGGAGACCCUUAGGAAACUAGGGGGUGCUUCCAUCUGGAAGAAUCUGGAGACAGGUGCUGCAUGGCUGUCGUCAGCUCGUGUCGUGAGAUGUUGGGUUAAGUCCCGCAACGAGCGCAACCCUUGCCUUUAGUUGCCAGCAGUUCGGCUGGGCACUCUAAAGGGACUGCCGGUGUUAAACCGGAGGAAGGUGGGGAUGACGUCAAGUCCUCAUGGCCUUUAUGACCAGGGCUACACACGUACUACAAUGGCCGAUACAAAGGGCAGCGACACUGCGAGGUGAAGCCAAUCCCGUAAAAUCGGUCUCAGUCCGGAUUGGAGUCUGCAACUCGACUCCAUGAAGUUGGAAUCGCUAGUAAUCGUGGAUCAGCAUGCCACGGUGAAUACGUUCCCGGGCCUU